UACGGGGGGUGCGAGCGUUGUCCGGAAUCACUGGGCGUAAAGGGCGCGUAGGUGGUUUGAUAAGGGUGUGGUGAAAGUCCGGGGCUCAACCCCGGAUCUGCCGUGCCGACUGUCAAACUCGAGGACUGUAGAGGCAGACGGAAUUCCGGGUGUAGCGGUGGAAUGCGUAGAGAUCCGGAGGAAGACCGGUGGCGAAGGCGGUCUGCUGGGCAGGUACUGACGCUGAAGCGCGAAAGCUAGGGGAGCAAACAGG
This 253-nucleotide ribosomal RNA is filed under the name uncultured bacterium. RNAcentral describes it as "partial 16S ribosomal RNA". It matches the Rfam family "Bacterial small subunit ribosomal RNA", at positions 524 to 776 of the family's 1533-position model. The record is from RNAcentral.